AGUCAUAUGCUCAGCUCAAAGGCUAAGCCAUGCAUGUCUAAGUAUAAGGGCAUAGGCCCGAAACUGCGAACGGCUCAUUACAACGGUCGUAAUUUGCACGGCCCUAUCCUCUUCUUUAGUCGGAUAACACUGGGAACCUAGUGCUAAUACGUGCACCUAAUGGCUCGCAGGCUUCGUCCUGUGGGUCAGGCGCCUAUCGGCAUCCUUUCAUCGGGGUGUGGCAUUGAAGUGACCAGCGCGGGGGGGCAACUCCCCGCUUUUCGGGUGAAGUCAAGAUAGGUCGUAGACCGUCGCAAGACGGCAGGCCGUAUAAGCGACCGCCCCAUCAUACUUUCAACCGUAGUAUAGGGGACUACGGUGGUGGUGACGGGUAACGGAGGAUUUGGGUUCGACUCCGGAGAAUGAACAUGAGAUAUGUUUCAUACUUCUAAGGAAGGCAGCAGGCGCGCAAACUACCCAAUCGACAACGUCGGAGGUGGUGACGAGCAGUACUAAGGGUGCCGGUUUUACGGUCCCGUAGAAUGAACGAUGCACAGAUACUACGCUGAAUGCAAGAAGAGGGCAAGUCUGGUGCCAGCAGCCGCGGUAAUUCCAGCUCUUCGAGCAUAUAUUAAAGUUGUUGCGUUUAAAACGCCCGUAGUUGAGAUUGCUUGGUCAGGUGUCCAACGAGGGGGGGAGAGAGAGAGAAAAGAGAAAGGGUGCAAUAAGGGUGUGACAUUACGUAUACACCAGCGCUUCGAGAGAGGAGAAGGAAGGGGGGAAGGAGAGAAAGCGUGUGUGCACUUGUUUAACAGGUGCAUUCCAAAUUCUCAACAAACUUCCCUCUCUCUGGAACCUCUCUCUCAGGGUGCAAGUGUGUGCGUAGGAGAGCAUCCCUGCCUCCUCUUUCUUUCUUUCUUUCUCUAACCCUCUCUGGGUGCCUGCCUUGUCUUUUGUUACCAUAAAGAAAUUGGAGUGUCUAUAGCAGGUCGUGCCCUUGUGGCUCAGGCCCCUGUACAUUGCAGUAUGGAAUAACAGUUCAGACCUGCGUCUGUCUGCUGGUCACGCUUCUGGGUGCGAAGUCAGUCGGUCCACUGGGCGAGGGAGUGCCUGCUGGGUUAGGUUCGUGGGGGGGUUGGCGAGGCUGCAUGGGUGUCGAAGGGGCGGCGUGGGGUCUGCUGUACACCGGCAGGCCCUGCGUCCGUCCGCCUCAUUUGUGUACGCUUACCGUCUUCUCUGUCCGCGGCCGCAUUGGCCCAGUGGGCGCCCCCGUUCGGGCUGUUCGGAUAACGUCUCGGGAGUCAGGUGUGGCGUUGAUGGUAAAUAGGGGCGGUUUCCGGGGGCAUAAGUAUUGGGCCGGGAGAGGUAAAAUUUUAUGAUCGGUCCACGACUACCAGAGGCGAAAGCGCUUGCCAAGGACGCUUUCAUUGAUCAAGGACGAGAGCUGGGGGAGAGAAGGAGAUCAGACACCUCUGUAUUCCCAUGCUGUAAACGAUGCCGACUAGGUGUGGGGGGGCUGCUCGUCAAAGGCACCCCCCGUGCCCCGCGAGAAAUCUGUAAGUAUUCAGGUUACGGGGGGAGUAUGGUCGCAAGGCUGAAACUUAAAGGAAUUGACGGAAGGGCACCACAAUUGGCGUGGAGCCUGCGGCUUAAUUGGAUUCAACGCCGUUAACCUUACCAGGCCCUGACUCACACGGGAUUGACAGGAUGCAGUUCUUUCGUGAUUGUGAGAGUGGUGGUGCAUGGCCGUUCUUAGUUCGUGGUGUGAACUGUCUGCUUAAUUGCGAUAACGGACGAGACCUCUGCCUGGUGACUGAGUGCCGGGCUCUCUGCCUCUCCCCUCUUUGCACCAGCUAACAGAGGGAUGGCGGGGGUAGGUGCCCCAGAGGGAAGUAAAGGGGGAAAGGGGGGAACGGGAGAAACAAACGGUGCGUCGUGCAUUGCAUUAAGUCCUGUGUGCGUGCAUGCUGCAUCUCUCUCUCUCUCUUCCUGUCCUCCAGUGCUUCUUUCUGGUGUAAUCUGCCGCCGCCCUCCCCCCGGUGCACUCGAAAAGAGGAAGAGGCGGGUAACAAAAGAGCCCGCGCAACUCCUUCACAGGGACUAUUGCUCAUAAAGCGCCGGAAGCGUGAGGCAAUAACAGGUCAGUGAUGCCCUUAGAUGCCUUCUAUUGGGUUGCACGCGUGCUACAAUGGCGGGUGCAGUGUGUGGAGGCCAAGCCCGAGAGGGUGCGGCAAUCCUGCGAGGCCCCGUCGCGGUUGGGAUCGUCCCUUGCAAUUAUUGGUCGUGAACUAGGAAUGCCUCGUAAGCGCGUGUCAGUGAUCGCGCGCUGAAUGCGUCCCUGCCCUUUGUACACACCGCCCGUCGCUCCUACCGAUUGGAUGUUGCGGCGAGUUGUCCGGAGGACGCGCCCCGGCGCGGCCCGAAGUUCUGCGAGCCCCAGCAUCUAGAGGAAGGAGAAGUCGUAACAAGGUUUC
RNAcentral lists this ribosomal RNA (2453 nucleotides) under Chilomastix mesnili. RNAcentral's name for it is "small subunit ribosomal RNA". It matches the Rfam family "Eukaryotic small subunit ribosomal RNA". The record is from RNAcentral. Lineage: Eukaryota; Fornicata; Retortamonadidae.